Molecule: long non-coding RNA, 316 nt
Organism: Musca vetustissima
Lineage: Eukaryota; Metazoa; Arthropoda; Insecta; Diptera; Muscidae
Exons: 2
Source: RefSeq, a predicted model, not a curated record
GUCACACGCUGCCCGAAUGUUGCUCUGCGGUAUUUUCGCCCAUUCGCGGCGAAGCGCUUGCUUGAGGUGAUCGACACAUUGCCAACCUUGCUUUCCAAAAUACUCCAGACACAAUAGUCCAACGGAUUGGUAUUUGGAGAUUUUGGUGGCCAAUGUGCGUUGGAAAUGAAGCGAAGAACUUUAUUUUGUUAGUUCUUGGGUGGCGCGUGCUGAGUGCGAUGGUGCUGAGUCCUGUUGGAAUGUCCAAGGUCUGCGGCCAAAAUGUUUGCGUUCCCAAGGCUUUAAUACACCCUCCAGAAUAUUUUCCCUAUAAUAU